RNAcentral lists this non-coding RNA (72 nucleotides) under Salix viminalis (osier). Lineage: Eukaryota; Viridiplantae; Streptophyta; Magnoliopsida; Malpighiales; Salicaceae. The record is from RNAcentral.
UUGAGCCGGAUGAAAGGAAACUUUCACGUCCGAUUUUGAAGGGGGGAGAUCCUAUAAGGAUCCUAUCCCAAU